CUAUUUUUGAAUUUAUAAAAAUUUCUUUAUAAAUGAUACUUUGUUAGCAUAGUAAAAUAUAUCAUUAUACUAUGUGUAUGUUUGUUGUAGCGUCGCCAAAACUAGAACUCUGUAAGUGCCUCUCAUAAAAGAUCCUCAACAGAGGAGGAAGAAGAAAAUAUUAAGCCAUUAUAUAAUGUUCCUUAUCAAGGUAUCAAUGACUACUGAGGUGUUAAUGACAAGGAAUUGGUACUGUUUCUGUUGUAAGGUUAGAUUUUGCACAUUGAAGCUAUCAGAACGUAUUUUGGUUUAGAUUUAAAUUCUCUACCGAGCAGAAGUAAUAUUCUACAUUGGUUUUCAGGUCCUGUCCAAAGUUUUAGAACUGCAUAGGUAUCAUCAAAGCAUUUGUAAAGUAUCUUCAGUAUUUUAUGAUAUUCUACCCUAAUGGUAAAAUUGGUUGUGUUUAUGUGUGUAAUUGACUACUGAGACACAAAGUGUCCAAACACCGUAUGGAAAUUACUCCCUUCCCAAGGCACAUCCAGGGAAUCAUAUGUGGCUCUUGUGCAAAAGCUAGCACCUCUCAGCGCAUGUUGGGAGAGCCCACAGUAGGUGUUUCAACAAAGGAGAUGCGGUGGAGGCAUAGAGGACAAUCCAGAGAUCCUAACUGCAGGAGGUAGCCACUGUUCCUAGAGGAAAGGAAAUAAGAGGGCGGGGGGGGGGGAGUUGGGGUUGACAGAACCUUGGAGCUCCUAAACAGGAGUCCUCAUGGACUUAGUGCACAAAGCUCUGAGACAGUUCACCACCCACCUGCUCUUGCUACUUCUGAGGGAUGCAGUGAAGAUAGUUCCAGACCUUCGGAAAGUAGUUGAAGACUGGAAUCAACUGACAUUAUUAGGUCCACACUGGUAGGCUGGGCAAGCAAAGAUAAAGAAGUAAAUCUUGUUUUCCUCUUCCUACCUUCCAUCUUCUCUCUAGUACUUACUGGCAGAAUCUAAAUGGAAUGCAGCAGUCAAGGGGGUCAGGAAAAUGCAGUUUAUGGAGUCCCAGCCCCAGCAUCACAGAGCAAAGGAUAGAAAGGUGGAACUGGAGCUGAGAGAUAAUAGGUAAAGAACACAUUAGUUUCCUUUUAAAAAUUCCUUUUUGCCCAAAGAUGUUAAUCCCGAAAAUGCUAAAUAUUCAGGAAUAUAUUUGUAGACUAUCUCUGGGACCUCAAGAGUAAAUGCACUGGUUCUAAUUGAAAUCAUGUUGCUCUUUU
This 1234-nucleotide long non-coding RNA is filed under the name Ursus maritimus (polar bear). Its description in RNAcentral is "lncRNA (ENSUMAG00000014520.1)". Lineage: Eukaryota; Metazoa; Chordata; Mammalia; Carnivora; Ursidae. The record is from RNAcentral.